This 161-nucleotide ribosomal RNA is filed under the name Bryum argenteum. RNAcentral's name for it is "5.8S ribosomal RNA". It matches the Rfam family "5.8S ribosomal RNA". Rfam says of the family: 5.8S ribosomal RNA (5.8S rRNA) is a component of the large subunit of the eukaryotic ribosome. The record is from RNAcentral. Lineage: Eukaryota; Viridiplantae; Streptophyta; Bryopsida; Bryales; Bryaceae.
UAGAACAACUCUCAGCAACGGAUAUCUUGGCUCUUGCAACGAUGAAGAACGCAGCGAAAUGCGAUACGUAGUGUGAAUUGCAGAAUUCCGCGAAUCAUCGAGUUUUUGAACGCAAGUUGCGCCCGAGGCUUGUCCGAGGGCNUUUCCGCUAGAGCGUCACC